AUUGAGGCUGCUAACUUUGAUUAGGGGCUUAUUGCUCCGCCUUUUUAUGGGUCUUGCUAUU
This 61-nucleotide transfer RNA is filed under the name Gastrocopta cristata. Its description in RNAcentral is "tRNA-Ser". Lineage: Eukaryota; Metazoa; Mollusca; Gastropoda; Stylommatophora; Pupillidae. The record is from RNAcentral.